CCUACGGGGGGCAGCAGUGAGGAAUAUUGGUCAAUGGGCGAGAGCCUGAACCAGCCAAGUCGCGUGAAGGAUGACGGCCCUACGGGUUGUAAACUUCUUUUGUCAGGGAGCAAUUGAGUCCACGUGUGGUCUUAGCGAGAGUACCUGAAGAAAAAGCAUCGGCUAACUCCGUGCCAGCAGCCGCGGUAAUACGGAGGAUUCAAGCGUUAUCCGGAUUUAUUGGGUUUAAAGGGUGCGUAGGCGGUUCGAUAAGUUAGAGGUGAAAUCCCGGGGCUCAACUCCGGCACUGCCUCUGAUACUGGCGGGCUAGAGUUUAGUUGCGGUAGGCGGAAUGUAUGGUGUAGCGGUGAAAUGCAUAGAGAUCAUACAGAACACCGAUUGCGAAGGCAGCUUACCAAACUACGACUGACGUUGAGGCACGAAAGCGUGGGGAGCAAACAGGAUUAGAUACCCCAGUAGUC
RNAcentral lists this ribosomal RNA (461 nucleotides) under uncultured bacterium. RNAcentral describes it as "partial 16S ribosomal RNA". It matches the Rfam family "Bacterial small subunit ribosomal RNA", at positions 338 to 795 of the family's 1533-position model. The record is from RNAcentral.